CAAGGCUGGGGAUGAGUGUUUUAUAGUUACUGCCUGUGUUUAUGACGAGACACUGCAUCUGCUCGGCUCGAUCAAUGGAACUGACUUUGUAGAGAGCAAAUCCCUUAUUGUCAAAACGGAAUUUCUGCAAUACUUAAAAAACCAGGCUUCAUCAGAAGUCGUCAGAGGGCCAGACGUUAUUGACGAUCCACACAGUGAAAGAAAAGUGGUCAGGUCUCUUAUGUCACAUUUAGUGGGUAAAGAUGCACCCUGUUAAAGAAAUAACACAUAAACCAACACUGGAUAUGAUUAACACACUCAACCAACACUGGGUAUGAUUAACACACUCAACCAACACUGGAUAUGACUUACACACUCAACCAACACUGGAUAUGACUUACACACUCAACCAACACUGGAUAUGACUAACACACUCAACCAACACUGGAUAUGACUAACAUGCUCAAUCAACACUGGGUAUGAUUAACACCCUCAACCAACAUUGGAUAUGAUUAACACAUGCAACCAACACUGGGUAUGAUUAACACACUCAACCAACAUUAGAUAUGAUUAAAACACGCAACCAACACUGGAUAUGAUUAACACACUCAAUCAACACUGGAUAUGAUUAACACACUCAACCAACACCGGACAUGAUUAACACCCUCAAUCAACACUGGAUAUGAUUAACACACUCAACCAACACUGGAUAUGAUUAACACCCUCAACCAACACUGGAUAUGAUUAACACCCUCAAUCAACAAUGAAUAUGAUUAACACCCUCAACCAACACUGGGUAUGAUUAACACACUCAAUCAACAUUGGAUAUGAUUAACACAUGCAACUAACAUUGGGUAUGAUUAACAUACUCAACCAACAUUGGAUAUGAUUAACACACGCAACCAACACUGGAUAUGAUUAACACACUCAAUCAACACUGGAUAUGACUAAAACCCUCAACCAACACUGGAUAUGACUAACACUCUCAACCAACACUGGAUAUGAUUAACACACGCAACUAACAUUGGGUAUGAUUAACACACUCAAUCAACAUUGGAUAUGAUUAACACACGCAACUAACAUUGGGUAUGAUUAACAUACUCAACCAACAUUGGAUAUGAUUAACACACGCAACCAACACUGGGUAUGAUUAACACACUCAAUCAACACUGGAUAUGACUAACACUCUCAACCAACAGAAGAGAUUAUUAAAACACUCAAUGUUAUAGGGUCACACGUGGUGGUCAAUGUUACACGGUCACACAUUGUGGUCAAUGUUACACGGUCACACGUGGCGGUGAAUGUUACACGGUCACACGUUGUGGUCAGUGUUAUAAGGUCACACGUGGCGGUCAAUGUUACACGGUCAUAUGUGGUGGUCAAUGUUACACGGUCACACGUGGCGGUCAAUGUUACACGGUCACACGUGUUGAUCAAUGUUACACGGUCACAUGUUGUGGUCAGUGUUAUACGGUCACACGUGGCGGUCAAUGUUAUACGAUCAAACGUUUCGGUGGUUGGUGCUGUACAAUAAGAUGGUUGGUGUUGUACUAUUAGAUGUUUGGUGUUGUACUAUAAGAUGUUGGGUGUUGUAUUUUAAGAUGGUUGGUGUUGCACUAUAAGAUGUUUGGUGUUGUACUAUAAGAUGGUUGGUGUUGUACUAUAAGAUGUUUGGUGUUGUACUUUAAAAUGUUGGGUGCUGUACUAUAAGAUGUUUGAUGCUGUACUUUAAUACGUUGGGUGCUGUACUAUAAUAUGGUUGGUGAUGUACUAUAAGAUGUUGAGUGUUGUACUUUAAAAUGUUGAUACUGUACGAUGUUUGGUGUUGUACUAUAAGAUGUUGGGUGUUGUACUAUAAGAUGUUUGGUGUUGUACUGUAGGAUGUAGGAUGUUGUGCUAUAAGAUUUUGGUUGUUGUGCUAUAAGCUGUUGGUUGUUGUACUAUAAGAUGUUUGGUGUUGUACUAUAAGAUGGUUGGUGUUGUACUGUAGGAUGUUUGGUGUUGUGCUAUAAGAUGUUAGGUGUUGCGAUAUAAGUUGUUGGGCGUUGUACUUAAAAAUGUUGAUACUAUACUAUGUUUGGUGUUGUACUAUAAGAUGUUGGGUGUUGCACUAUAAGAUGGUUGGUGUUGCACUAUAAGAUGUUGGGUGUUGUACUGUAGGAUGUUGGGUGUUGUGCUAUAAGAUGUUGGGUGUUGUACUAUAAGAUAUUUGUUGAUGUGCUAUAAGAUAUUGGGUGUUGUACUAUAAGAUGUUGGUUGUUGUGCUAUAAGAUGUUGGUUGUGCUAUAAUAUGUUGGGUGUUGUACUAUAAGAUGGUCGGUGCUGUACUUUACGAUGUUUGGUGUUGUACUAUAAGAUGUUGGGUGUUGUAUUAUAAGAUGUUUGGUAAUUGUUACCUUCAAAUAUAUCUCAAUCUCAGUGAAGAGGGUAAUAUUUUAUAAAAUGAGAGUUGUAUUAAAAAUCCUUUGCUCUCACUUCAGUGUUAUGAUUUAUGGCGGUGUUGUCUUUUAUGCAUUUGCAUAAUUACUCCAAAUAAUCGUUUGUGUCGUUCCUGUGGCCGCCCUUGUACGUACGAUUUUAGCGUUGGAGAUGACAGAGUACGGACGUCGGUUUGUUCAAGGCGAUUAAAGCGUUGACAUAACAAUAUGUGUAGUGUUACUGUGUUGAUAAAAAUGUAAGGGCUGUCGAAGUCAAAUCUAACGAUGUUCCUACGACAACCGUAAGGAAGAAUUAUAGUCGCCAAAUAAACCCAUGACAUCGCAGAAACAGCUUGAACGAUGGUGGAACAUUCGAGGGAAGUUAUUGGGUUUAACUCAAAACAAUCGUAAAAUAUUAUAGGACAUUCCUAAGAUUUGGAGAACCUCAAUUGGCACUACAAUCAUACGAGGUUGAAUUUAGCUCUUCUGGUCAAAUGCCAGAAGAGUAAUUGCGAUGGCGCGUUUUCCGUCGACCGUUCGUCUUUAAGCACUUGGUUGAGAACUUGAUAAAGCCGAUACAUUAGUUUGAUAUCCAUGAGAGGUCGGUUUCUCUCGAAAAGCAGCCAGAUCCGCCUUUGUAUGACUGGAUAAUUUCACUUAGAAAGAAUGCAAAGGAAAUAUAGGGAGACAACUUUGUACAGACAGGUGUGCAUUAUUGUAGUGUUUGUCUCCCGUUGAAACAUGGUUUACUGAUUGUUAUGACAAAGUGCCAGUAGACCACAGGCCCGCAUGGGCCUUCUUUUUGUUUAAAUUGUUUGAAACUCUAAAAUAGUUCUAUCGCAAAACACACGAGUUUCAUUGAUACCCUUGUCUUUCCUAAGGAUGUCUCCAAUCUUUUGUCGUUGGCCUGGUGAACGACGUGUUCGACAGAUUGUUACGGAAUAUCGUUUAUUCGACCCAGGUGUCUGUCCGUACCGGAAAUUAUUACCACCCACAACAUUUUUCCACUUUGAGAUAUGGAAAUGUAUUGUAUGAUUAUUACAAGCAAAGUUAACUUAAAUCGCACAAAUACCUUUAGAAAUGAUUUUGUUAACAUUAUAUUUACAGGCGGUUAGAUUACUCGCUGACGGGGAGGAGUGUUUCAUUGUGACUGCAAAGAGCCCAAACGUUCUGAGCUCCGACAAGGGGAAAGCUUACUUCUGCGAGAAUUUCAAGUUUUGUCAGAAAGCAUUAUUUCGCCACAUUAGUAAUUUUUGGGUUUUGAAGUGUUUUAACGUAAGACAUUUAGUUCCGCUUUAGAGACUUAGAUGUAAUAUUCUGUUGAAGUUUCCAUCGUCUGAAUUAAAGUUCAGGUAUAUGUUUACAUUAAUUUUCACGCAUUGUUAGGAUUUUUUAUUAACAAAACGAUAUGAUGCAGGUUGAAGUUAUCAUUGGAUUUGGGCUGAAACAUUUAUCCAGUUUGAUUAUAUAUAAUUGUGUAUAACCACUUAAUGCAGUUUUACUGAGCGUUUUCAUUCGACGGCCGUCAAAACCCGGCCAUGUGUUCCUUAUAUUGGUCGAACUCUAAAUACUGAAGGUGAUUCAUUUCUGAAACAUCGUGACUUUGUAACUUUGAAGUGGGGUGAUCAAAUGUGAAUAUCUGACAUCCAGAUUGCUAUGUCACAAAACUGUAUCAAAUUGACCCUAUAAAUGUAUCACUACAUUUUUUAAAUUCUACUGAAGCUAUAUAUGACUAGUUAUUAUUGGUUUAACAUCACAUACUUAAGAAACUGACUGUUUGUUUCAAAGAAAGACAAAGAAAAAACACACCUCCACCUAUAUUAUGCACAUAUACGGUUAAUGACCAUUUAUGAAUACGGUCCCAGAUUAAUAGGCCUACUAAAAAGAGUUUGUUUCCGACGCCUCUGUACAGUCCUUGUUGUAUUUUGGUCAAACUAAUCUUAGGAUCAGUGCUAAAAUAAAGGGUAGAUUUAGACAUUUGAAAUGAACAAUUAGUUAUAUUUAGGCCUCAUUAGAAUCGCCGCUGGUUCUCUGAUUGUAUCUAGCGUUUACACAUUCGGAACUCCUCGGCCAUUUUCUAUCGAAAGAUGUAGAUCGUUAAUUUUGAGUUAUAUUAUUAAUUAAAUGUAGCGUUUUAGCAUGUAUUUCUGAGUUUUAUUUGAUUGCCAGUUAAGUGUAGUAUUGCAAACAUUAUUAAGAUUCCCUAGAGUUCAGUCAUUAAUUUUUACAGCUAAAUUGAAAUUACUACGCGAUCUUUUUGCUGCGUUGUAAAUGUGUACAUAUUUCGGCCAUUGUAAACCGUUCAUAUACAUCCGAGGUUGUUUUUGAUAGAAAAUGGCCUAGGAGUUCCCAUUGGCAUUUACACUAUUGAAAAGGAGUUUUAGGAGUCCCUUUGUGUGAAAUGUCUUCAUUGGCCAUAACUCAAUAUGAAAAAAGUAAAACGACAUUUUUGCAUAUGCCGGUAUAUUCUGAAUUAUGAAAUAUGUAUUGACAGUUAUAUGUUUUGUUAACAGAUAAAACCAACCUUAAUGCCAGUACAGUCGGAAAAAACACGUAGAAAUGAGCAGACCUAACGUCUCGUUUGCUCAACAUUCCAAACCAACUGACGGAAACAGAUCAAAUCAAUCCGUAGUACCAGUGAAAGUUAAAAAGGUUUCGGAUAAUGUGAAAGUAAACACUAAAAGGACCAAUAUAGAAGACGAACUUAAGGAAUCGCCUUCGCUCCUUCUUGGAAAAGCUGUACCACCCGAGGGGACUCGAAGAAAGGCAAAUGUCGAUAAGCCUGUCAUACCGGUAACCCCCGCCUCUAAUGAUAAAGAUAAUGACAGUUGGUCUAAUUCAGAUGACGAGUUUCAAGAAGAGGCGGAAAAUGAGUUACCCGACAUGAGUGCCUUUAUCUCCGAUAAAACUAGAUCAAGACGCCACGCGGUCAGUAAAGUCACUGUCAAAUUGCGGGUCAGCUUCACAAAAGAUAAGGGAAGCGUGUCAAGAGCCAGCCAUAAAGAAACACAAGGAAGAAAGUGGUGUACGGUCAUAUGUAAGCGCCGGAGAAAAUGAGAGGGCGACAAACUCAAGUGUUAUUGCAGGGACAUCUGAUGAGUGUAAACAGGGAGCUAAUUCAAACUCCGUAGAAAUCCAAUCAUUUACAUGCAUUGUGAAAGGUUGUUUGGGAGAAUUUAUCGUCCGAUGGCCGUUAUUGAAACAUUAUCAAAGUCAUACCGAGACGAAACUAGUCACAUGCAGAGAGUGCGAUGAACAAUUUAAUAGCAGCACCACCGCAAUCAAGCAUUGUAGAACAGCCCACCCUUACAUUGAGAAACUGCAACCGCAAUAUCCGAGCCGACAACGGCUUGAAGAUCUCGAAAGGGAGUUAAAUGCGGAUAACACUGAUGACCGAGUCUAGUGAUAUACUAAACCUAGAAACUGUAAGAGUGCGUGCUCAGUUAAAACCAAAGAACCGCACAGAAUUAUAUAGAACUUAGAAACUGUAAAACAGUGAGCGCUCUGUUAAAAAAACAUAUCCAAAAAUAUAUGUAUACUGCACAAAUUAGCCACUGUAAAACUAUAUGUGUUUAGUUAAAGCCAAAACACGACGUCUAUAUGUGUAUUGAACUGAGGACCUGUAAAACUAUAUACGUUCAGUGAAAGCAAACGAACCACGUCUAUACGUGAAUUGAACUAAGAAACUGUAAACUAUAUAUGUUCAGUUUAAGCACAAGAACCACGUCUAUACGUGUAUUGAACUGAGAAACUGUUAAACCAUAUAUGUGUUCAGUUAAAGCAACAUAAUCACGUCUAUACGUGUAUUGAACUGAAAAACAGUAAGCUAUGUAUGUUCAGUUAAAGCAAAAGAACCACGUAUAUACGUGUAUUGAACUGAGAAACUAAAACCUAUAUGUUCAGUUAAAGCACAAAACCACGUAUAUACGUGUCUUGAAAUGAGAAACUGUAAAACUAUAUCAUAUUAUGUGUUCAGUUAAUAACCACGUCUAUACGUGAAUUGAACUAGGAUAUUGUAAACUAUAUAUGUUCAGUUAAAGACAAAAUAACCACGUCUAUACGUGUAUUAAACUGAGAAACUAGAAACUAUAUAUGUUCAGUUAUAGCAAAAAAACCACGUCUAUACGUGUAUUUAACUGUAAAACUAUAUAUGUGUUUAGUUAAAGCAAAAGAACCACGUCUAUAAGUGAAUUGAACUGAGAAAGUAGAAACUAUAUAUUUUCAGUUAAAGCCACAAAAUAACGUCCAUAAAUGUACUAAAGAUAGAAAACUGUGUGUGUUCAUUUUAAGCCACAGCGAAAUGUUUAGAAACAUACUGAACUUAGAAACUGUAAAACUAAAUUUGUUCAGUUAAAGCUACAAAACCACGUCUUAAACUGUACUGAACUUAAAAACUGUUAAACUUUAGUCCUGUUUUUUAAGCCACAGAGCCAGGUCUAGAAAUAUACUUAACUUUUAAACUGUUCUUCUAUUUGUGUUUAAUUAAAGCCGUGAAACAAGACAGUCAACAUACUUGUAUUUGUAAACGAUACUUAAACGAAUCAGCAUAUAGCGCAAUUUUAGAACUUAAGACUGGCUUAAAUAUUCGAGUUUAGAACUAGACUGGCUAAAUUAUGCGAGUUUAGAAUUAGUCUCUCAACUCGAAUGUCUAAAUUAUGUGAGUUUAUAAUUACACUGGCUAAAAUAUGCAAGUUUUUUUAAAAGGCGUGUUUAUUUUUUAUAUGUCUAUAUUUCCUUUUUUAUUAUCUCUAAUUCAAAAUUUCAAACUAGGAAUGCCUCGACAGGGCUCAGUCCAGCAGACGACGUCACAUAUGUAGACUUAUAUAUCAACCACCCACCACUUAGAUUUAUUCAGUAUUUGUGGUUUUUACUAGCUUGAAAAUAUCAAUCCUCUUGUACGUCAACAUUAUCUAUACUUGGCUAAUAUUGUUUACAUGUAUGUAUAUAUACAUUUUGCUCUCAUUUUUAUACUCUCAUUCAAUGCUCAAACGAAAAUAGUCUACAUUUUAAACAAACCGCUUUUAUAUAGAUAUCCUACUGGAUUAGGCAUGAAAAUGCUGCUCUAAAAUGUAGUCAUUGGCGCCGCACUGAAGUGUGCGCCAAUAUUUGGAUGGGAAUACUUUUUAGUUAGCGGUAGGAGCGGUUUUUAAUUUUGAUUGACAGUUGGGUUUUAUUGUUUAUUGUUUUAAAAAAGAUGCAAAUGGAUGGGCAUUGCAUGUGGGUUAAUUAUGCUAUUUAUGGUUUAAAAUAUUGUUUUCAAUUUAUCUUCAAAACAUUUUUUUCAAAAAAUAACGACAAAUAAGUUUAAUAACUCUUCGCGAUUCGUUUCCGUUUUUGGAUUGGUUACCUGUAAUCAUGUGCCGGAAAUGUAAAAUGGGUGGACUGGUAAUUAUACGAAUGCGAAUAAUUAUGUUUUAUUUCGUUUUGUUAUGUUUACUACAUUGCUGAAUAAUGAACUAAGCUGUUUUCUUUAAUUCUAUCGAUAUCGGAAUUAAAUGUUCACCUUACUUUAUUUGUUAAUGUGUUAAAGAUGACAUAAGUAAAAUUUCAUAACGAUU
Molecule: RNA transcript, 7954 nt
Organism: Mya arenaria
Lineage: Eukaryota; Metazoa; Mollusca; Bivalvia; Myida; Myidae
Gene name: histone-lysine N-methyltransferase PRDM9-like
Exons: 2
Source: RefSeq, a predicted model, not a curated record